AUUUUGCUUGAUGCAAUAAUGGGUUUCUGUUUUCUACUGUGUUUUAAUCUCUCAACACUUGUGGUGGGUCUAGACUGUAGAGAAAGAGUCUUCGUGUAGUAAAGAUUAAUGAGUUUUUUUUUCGAAGGACAAAAACAAGGGUAUGCCAAAGGAACUCUUGAAUUACAAAAAGAAAAGGAAGAAGGGACAGAGGAAGGAGGAGGAGAGAGAGUAGGAAUUAUAGAGAGAGCAUAGGUGGGCAUGAUUGAUGAUUGGUGAAGGUUAAAUACAUGUAUGAAUUGGUGGUUACUUGUAGGAGAGAGAGUUGGGUUUUGGGCAUUAUUUCAAUUUGAUUUGAUUUUGAUUAAUAUAUUUCGUGGAGACAGUAGAGUCUGAGAGAGAGACAGGGGAUUCCGAGAAGAGAGGAGGAAGUGUACAAUGGAUAUUCUUUUUCAGGUUGGGGUGAAAAUGGAAUAAUCGGAAGGAGUUCAAAGUAUAUGCUUGCUAUGCUACCACCAUUGCUGACUGAUUGAGGUGAGGUCCAAAUUCUAUCCUUACACGGUAGAGGGGAUAAUUUUCAAGAUUUUAGAAUUAUCUAUUAGAGGAGACUAUAAGCCACGUUUUACAUACUACUAUAAUUAAUUUAUUUUAUUAUGUUUUUUUUACUCUGAAUUUGUAGUUGAAUUAGGGUUUAAAUACGUUUGAUUCAACAAGCCCACCCACCUGUUUAAACCAUUUAUGUUUUUGUUUGUUUCUUGGUUACACUUCCCAACAUUUGGAAAUUUAAUUUUAUGGACUAAAGAGAUGUUGAAAUAUAUUACAUGCAAUUUGCAACCCAUUUAAGUCGAAAAAUAAAAUAUAUUUAACAUCAUAUAGGAGGCUCAACAAUCUCACAAAUAAUAAUAAUAGUAAUAAUAAAUAAAAAUUAUUAAUUUUAACAUUUUAUAUUGUCAUAUAAAAUGUAUUAAAGUAUAACUGUAUAUACACACAAAAAAAACAUCUAAAUAUAUUUUGACACUAAAAAUCAAUAAUUUUUUGAAUCAAAUAAUUUUUGACUUGCGUAUGUAAGAUCCAAACUUUUUAUAAAUAAAGAUUUAAUUUCUCUAAUUAUUAUUUUGAAAUAGUAAGGGUUGAUUUGAUUAAUGUAGUUAGUUAUGGAUAAAAUGCGCAAAUAUUUCAAAUAAGCAAGUAGUUAUAAAAUAUUCAUUGUUGUCGGGGAAUAUUCGUUUGGUCGUGGAAUAUUCGUACUGUCGGGGAAUAUUCGUACGACGGCGCAGCUAUGUGUGGGCCCCAUAACAGAAAGCGAUUGGAGGAAGAAAACGACAAAAAUAAGUUGUUGUUACCGUCAAUACUGUUGGAAUACCCGGUAGUUAAAACACAGUAAUACUCGUUGUUGCACAGUAACACACGGUAUUGCACCAAUUAUUGAUUCUUACGUAAGAAGGCACUACUCAAUAAUUGUUACAGUAGUUACUGUUCAGUAUUUUAUUUUAUUGAUUCAAUAAUUACUGCUUUGAUAUUUUAUAUUACUGUUGUUUCAAUAAUUGUCACUACACAGUAUUUUCCAUUAUCGGAGCAAUAAUUCUUAUUAUCUGAAUAAUAAUAUUAGAAAAUAUUAUUGGCAAUGUCUAGAAAGUUCUGUCUAAGAAGAGGUUUGGUCACCUAAUUGCGCGCCAGUAAGGAGAAAUCUUUAUUGGAAAGCCCCCUCUUUCUUUGGAACUGCCUGAUUGUUAAUAAUGUGAUUCUGUAAUAUUAUUUAUGAAUAAUUAAUUAUUGAUAUAUAUAAUGAGAAAAAUAUUGAUUUUAUGAGGAUAUAGAUGGAGGAAAAUUUUAAUGUGACAAUUGUUGAAAAUUAAUAUUUUAUCUUUUUCUUAUAAAAUAAUUCUUUUAAAUAUAUUAUUUUUACAAUGAAUGUGGGAUAUAUGAGUAUAUGAGGAGGAAGAGUAUUUUUGUUGCAUUAAAUGUUUAACACAUGUUUUGUGUGUUGGUGGACACAAUUAUUGACCGAAAUUUGAUUAUAGCCUGUAAAAUCGCCCGUUUGUGGAUUUCGGUCAAUUUCUGUUUGGAAUUUGGAAAAACUUUCUUCUGCAAAGUUGUAGAGAAUUGAAUUUCCUAUAAAAAGUCGCGAGAUUCGAAUUUUCUGAUAAAAGGGCUAUUUAUUAUGAAUUAUUGAAGUUCCGAAGUUCCGAAAUAAUUGAUUUUUGGAAGUUUAAAAUAUUUUUAAUUACAAAAACGUUUUUUUCAUUUUUGAAACUCAUUUAACAUGUGAUUAGGAGGCUGAAUUCAGAUUGUUAGUGUGCGUAUGAAGUUGUGGAAAAAUUAUAAUAUUAAUUUAUUAAAUUUUCUACUUUGGUGUUCUAAGCAUUUUCCUAUAAAUAGGGUGCUUAGGUUAGAAUUGAAAAUCACACCAGAAACUGAAGUUUUCUCUCUCUAUAUUAUCGAGCGUAUUCUUGUGAGUAUUUUGAGUAUACUUUGAGUAUUGCUAUACGGUGCAAGUUCAAGUCAUAGCCUAUAUCCGGUGUUUCAACUAGAAGUACUGUCUUUCGAGGUAAGGGAUGUUAUUUUAUUCGAAAAUGAUAUUAUUUCUUCAAUAUCAUUAUGCCGAAAUAUUGGUUGGAAAUUUUUAUCAAAUUUGGAACUUUUUCAUGUCGGGGUUACUAUUCAUGAGUUACUAUUCACGAGUUACUAUUCAUGAGUUACUAUUCACGAGUUACUAUUCACGAGUACUAUUCACGAAGCGUGAAGAUGUUUUUUGUGAAAUUUCUAUCUUUUGGUGUCGGAGUUACUAUUCACGUAUACGGCACUAUUCACGUAUACGGCACUAUUCACGAAUACGGCACUAUUCACCGAAAAAUGAAAUUUCUUCUUUUUGUCCAAAAUAUCUAUUAUGGAUACUAGCUUUGAUUGUAUCCAUGUUUUGAUCAUUCUUGAAUUUUACACCACUAUGAUUAUUUUUGAGGUAUUUUUGGACGUGGAUAAAACAAAGUACGAAUCCUUAAUCCUUAAUCCUUGUCAUUUUGUUUCACUGGAUUCGUUUCUUUAAAAAAAUUUUUCAUCAUCCUCAGUCUUAAAUGAUGAUAUUAUUGAAUAUCUUUGGCCUGUAGUGCAAAGAUGAAUGAUUUCUGAUGAAUAUCUUUGGCCCGUAGUGCAAAGAUGAACAGGUGUUUAGAUGAACAUGACCAACUGAUGAAUAUCUUUGGCCUGUAGUGCAAAGAUGAAUAUUUGAUUCCAGAUAUAUAUUGAUUGAUGUUACAGGGAUAAAAGAUAGACGAUGAACUUUUAAAUUCAUACAUAGAAGAUAGUAGUUUGCAUUCUCUACUUAACUCUUCUAAUGAAUUAUUAUUUCCGCUGCGAAUAUUGAUUUAAAACUUGUUGUCUAUUGUAUUCUAUUAGAUUUUUCCCUGUUGAAGACUAACGAUAAUUUGUUGUAUAUUAUCUUAGUCAUAAUAUUCUUUACUGGGCUAGUUGAGCUCACCCUUUUCCUUUUUGUUCCAUUUUUCUUCUCAGGAGGCGAGAAUAUAGCGAGUACGAGUCGGGGUAUGGAAUGAAGGUUCUAGAGAGAGUUGUUUAGUAGUCCUCACCAUUUUUGUAAAAUAAUGUAUCAAUAAAUGUGAUGAGGAUUUAUUUGAGUAUAGAUAUUGUCUAGAAGAUAAUAUUUGUAUUCAAACUCACAGUUUUACUGUUGUAAUAAUAAAGUUGUAGUUGUUUCUGUACCAUGUAUUGACAACUCAGAAUGGGUGAUGUAUACCUAUUUUGGGGGCGUCACAGUUGGUAUCAGAGCUUAGGGAUAUGAUCUCUGGCGGAGAUCGGGGAAUAGAACUAGGAGGGGAGAGACGAGUAAAUCCUUCGCUAGUGUGUCCUACCUAAGCUUAUUUGUUAGUUGGUCAGUAUAUAGGGAUAUUAUGUGAUAUAUUGAUUUCCUUAAUUAACCCUUGUUUUAUGACAGUAUUUGAGAAUGUCGACUGAGAAUAUUAACAGUGGAAAUGAGACCGUGGAGACGCCUGUACUCACCAACGAGGAGAACGUGCAACAGGCUGGCAAUGUUCCUCCUGUGAACAACACCACUGAGCAGAUGAUGAACGAGGGGAUGUUUAGAAGCUUUUUGCAGUUCAUGCAAAAUCAGACGAGGGAGACUCGUGUUCAAAAUACAGGAGGAAAUGAUAGCAAUUCACGGGUUGUCACAGCCAAGCAGUUCAAAGAGUUGGGACCACCAGAAUUUAAGGGAAAGCCAGAUCCGAUCAUGGCGGAAACAUGGGUCAAGCAAAUUACCAAGAUAUUCGAUGUCUUGGGAUGCACGGAGGAACAGAAGGUUCCAUUCGCCACCUUUAUGUUCCGUGGCGAGGCAGAUUACUGGUGGGAGUUUGUGAAACGGACCCAGCCUGCCACACUCCACAUGUCUUGGGAAACGUUUCAAAAACUUUUCAACGAAAAAUACUUUCCUGAAAGUAUUCGCCAUAUGAAAGAGGUAGAGUUUAUUAGACUAGAACAAAACAACAUGACGGUGUCCCAAUACGAGGCGAAGUUCGUAGAGUUAUCCAGGUUUGCACCUCAUUUGGUAGAGAAUGAGGAACGAAUGACGAGGAUGUUUAUGAGAGGUUUAAAACCCGAGAUUCGGCAAUAUCUUAUCUCUCAUAAAUUUUCUUUAUAUUCAGAUGUUGUAAACAGGGCUCAAUUAUUGGAGCGAGAUAACGAGUACGGUCAAUCGAGGGUCCACAACCAGGAUCAUACCGGGGAUAGCAGUCAACAAAACAACGAUAACCAACGGAGAAAGAAAAAGACAGACAAAAAUGGUAACCACUCUGGUGGUAAUCAUGGUCAUGAAAACAAAAGAAGCGAGUCAGGAGGAGAUUUUAAAAAGAGGAGAUUUAACAACAACCAUGUGAAGACGACAGUGCCGGCAGCAACUGGUUCUAAGGGAGGAGAACGACCACNNNNNNNNNNNNNNNNNNNNNNNNNNNNNNNNNNNNNNNNNNNNNNNNNNNNNNNNNNNNNNNNNNNNNNNNNNNNNNNNNNNNNNNNNNNNNNNNNNNNUUAAGAUGCCUACAUUAGCUAAAAACAUAAUACAUGCCAAUAUAUACGUUCUCCAUAUAUGGAAUCCAUCUCCAAAGACGUAGUCAAUGACUCUAUGAUGAUAAUAUAUUAUGGCGGCGGUAAAAACCACCAUACAUUUGAUAAAACAACAUAAAUCAACUUACAGUGACAAGAACAUGUUAAAAAUAACUUUUUUAAUUAUUGCUGGUAAAAAUUGGCAACGAUUUUAGAACAAUAACAUAAAACGAUACAGCUACUGAACUACAUCAUUUAGUACAGCAAUGCCGUGCCAUUGCUAAGAAAAGCACCAAACUAGUUUCAAAAAACUAGAGGGGGAUACACAGACAUUAUAAUUUACAAAGAAAUCCUCAAAAUUGCACCUAACUAAAAUUCCUACCAACUUAUUUAAUGGACAGCGUCUCAUCAAAGUAUCAAGGUCACAAAAAAGGUCAUUGUUUAACCUCAAAUUUGAAGUCAACUCCUCUAACACAAUAAAGCUUCAACCAACUCAAAAUCAAAACACAAGCUUCAUCAGCAACAAGAGCAAAUAGAAUUGAUUAUGAUGGAAUAAAAUGUACUAAAAUUAAUUUGUAACUAAUAAAAAAAAGCAGAUUUAGACACUCACGCAAAAGGAGAGGGCUCUACAAAGAGAGCUAUACGCCUAGGUCUUGAAGUGAUCUCUGAUUCAAGAAAAGGAGGAGGAUUUUCUUCUUCCUCCUCUUCCCUUAUCUCUGUAAUGGUCAUUUUGCUUGAUGCAAUAAUGGUUUUCUGUUUUCUACAGUGUUUUAAUCUCUCAACACUUGUGCUGGGUCUAGACUGUAGAGAAAGAGUCUUCGUAUAGUAAAGAUUAAUGGGUUUUUUUUUCGAAGGACAAAAACAAGGGUAUGCCAAAGGAACUCUUGAAUUACAAAAAGGAAAGGAAGAAGGGACAGAGGAAGGAGGAGGAGGAGAGAGAGUAGGAUUUAUAGAGAGAGCAUAGGUGGGCAUGAUUGAUGAUUGGUGAAUGCUAAAUACAUGUAUGAAUUGGUGGUUACUUGUAGGAGAGAGAGUUGGGUUUUGGGCAUUAUUUCAAUUUGAUUUGAUUAAUAUAUUUCGUGGAGACAGCAGAGUUUGAGAGAGAGACAGGGGAUUCCGAGAAGAGAGGAGGAAUGGAUAUUCUUUUUCAG
Molecule: long non-coding RNA, 6176 nt
Filed under: Panax ginseng (ginseng)
Lineage: Eukaryota; Viridiplantae; Streptophyta; Magnoliopsida; Apiales; Araliaceae
Description: long non-coding RNA (PGIN_LNC018428)
Source: RNAcentral